AAGGACCGUGGGGCAAAAUUUUAGAAUUUUUAGAGCUUGUUUGAGUGGAUUUUUGAAAAAUGUCAAUUAUAGGGACUAAAACGUAAUUUUUAAGAUUUUGAGUAUUGUCUGAUUUGGAGGGCUCAGGAGGGGCCAUGUGAUAUUGAUGAGAUGUGAUUGUGAAAAUUGAGAAUUUAGAAGUGUUAUUUGAGUCUUUUUGCAGGUUGGGUAGGUCCCAGGUAUAGGGGAAACUCUGCCGGAUUUCCGGCAUGAAUUAGGCUGUCUAUUGUCUCUUUAGAGUUUUAUCUUAACUUAAUACUAAUAAAUUUAUAAUUUAAUUAUUAGGUGAUCGAGGUCAGCUAUUUUCUGCAUCCAGCAGCCACAAUAGUCAUCGGUGUACUGCCACAGGAGGAGUUAUUUUACAGAGCAACCUGUUUUCUUCCUCGCAGGUUUAACGUCAAUUAUUUAAUUGUUUUACUUUCUUUUCUAAAUUUAAAAUCUAGAACUCCGCAUGUGUUAGAAAUAGUGUGGACCUUGGUAGAGGUUGAGUUAAUUUAAAUUUUUAAGAUUAAUAAAUGAAGAUUUGUAUGGUA
Molecule: long non-coding RNA, 572 nt
Organism: Hevea brasiliensis (rubber tree)
Lineage: Eukaryota; Viridiplantae; Streptophyta; Magnoliopsida; Malpighiales; Euphorbiaceae
Exons: 2
Source: RefSeq, a predicted model, not a curated record